Molecule: non-coding RNA, 136 nt
Organism: Hordeum vulgare subsp. vulgare (domesticated barley)
Lineage: Eukaryota; Viridiplantae; Streptophyta; Magnoliopsida; Poales; Poaceae
Source: Rfam
CUAGUACUCCAUCCGUUUUAAAAUUAUUGUCUUAAAUUUCUCUAGGUAUGGAUGUAUCUAGUCACGUUUUACUAUUUUAAUACAUAUAUUUUUAAACAAACUUAAGACAAAAAUUUUAAGACGAAAGAAGUAUUCA